GAUGAACGCUAGCGGGAGGCCUAACACAUGCAAGCCGAGCGGUAUUUGUUCUUCGGAACAGGGAGAGCGGCGCACGGGUGCGGAACACGUGUGCAACCUGCCUUUAUCUGGGGGAUAGCCUUUCGAAAGGAAGAUUAAUACCCCCUAAUAUAUUGAGUGGCAUCAUUUGAUAUUGAAAACUCCGGUGGAUAGAGAUGGGCACGCGCAAGAUUAGAUAGUUGGUGAGGUAACGGCUCACCAAGUCAAUGAUCUUUAGGGGGCCUGAGAGGGUGAUCCCCCACACUGGUACUGAGACACGGACCAGACUCCUACGGGAGGCAGCAGUGAGGAAGAUUGGACAAUGGGUUAGCGCCUGAUCCAGCCAUCCCGCGUGAAGGACGACGGCCCUAUGGGUUGUAAACUUCUUUUGUAUAGGGAUAAACCUACUCUCGUGAGAGUAGCUGAAGGUACUAUACGAAUAAGCACCGGCUAACUCCGUG
Molecule: ribosomal RNA, 479 nt
Filed under: uncultured bacterium
Lineage: Bacteria
Description: partial 16S ribosomal RNA
Rfam family: Bacterial small subunit ribosomal RNA
Source: RNAcentral